CAAUAGCGUAUAUUUAAGUUGUUGCAGUUAAAAAGCUCGUAGUUGGAUUUCGGGCGGGGCCUGCCGGUCCGCCUUUGGUGUGCACUGGCAGGGUCCGCCUUGCUGUCGGGGACGGGUUCCUGGGCUUUACUGUCUGGGACUCGGAGUCGACGUGGUUACUUUGAGUAAAUUAGAGUGUUCAAAGCAGGCUUACGCUCUGAAUACAUUAGCAUGGAAUAACGCGAUAGGACUCUGGCCUAUCUUGUUGGUCUGUGGGACCGGAGUAAUGAUUAAGAGGGACAGUCGGGGGCAUUCGUAUUUCAUUGUCAGAGGUGAAAUUCUUGGAUUUAUGAAAGACGAACUACUGCGAAAGCAU
This 355-nucleotide ribosomal RNA is filed under the name Choricystis sp. ACT 1003. Its description in RNAcentral is "SSU rRNA". It matches the Rfam family "Eukaryotic small subunit ribosomal RNA", at positions 592 to 954 of the family's 1831-position model. The record is from RNAcentral. Lineage: Eukaryota; Viridiplantae; Chlorophyta; Trebouxiophyceae.